ACGGGAGAGUAACACGUGGGAACGUGCCCUUCAGUUCGGAACAACCCAGGGAAACUUGGGCUAAUACCGGAUACGUCCGAAAGGAGAAAGAUUUAUCGCUGAAGGAUCGGCCCGCGUCUGAUUAGCUUGUUGGUGAGGUAACGGCUCACCAAGGCGACGAUCAGUAGCUGGUCUGAGAGGAUGAUCAGCCUCACUGGGACUGAGACACGGCCCAGACUCCUACGGGAGGCAGCAGUGGGGAAUAUUGGACAAUGGGCGCAAGCCUGAUCCAGCCAUGCCGCGUGGGUGAUGAAGGCCCUAGGGUUGUAAAGCCCUUUCGGCGGGGAAGAUAAUGACGGUACCCGCAGAAGAAGCCCCGGCUAACUUCGUGCCAGCAGCCGCGG
This 383-nucleotide ribosomal RNA is filed under the name uncultured bacterium. RNAcentral's name for it is "bacterial SSU rRNA". It matches the Rfam family "Bacterial small subunit ribosomal RNA", at positions 102 to 520 of the family's 1533-position model. The record is from RNAcentral.